GGAAGAGAAAGAAAAUUCGAUUCCCUUAGUAGCGGCGAGCGAAACGGGAAGAGCCCAAACCAACAAGCUUGCUUGUUGGGGUUGUAGGACACUCUGUACGGAGUUACAAAGGACGACAUUAGACGAAUCAUCUGGAAAGAUGAAUCAAAGAAGGUAAUAAUCCUGUAGUCGAAAAUGUUGUCUCUCUUGAGUGGAUCCUGAGUACGACGGAGCACGUGAAAUUCCGUCGGAAUCUGGGAGAACCAUCUCCUAAGGCUAAAUACUCUCUAGUGACCGAUAGUGAACCAGUACCGUGAGGGAAAGGUGAAAAGCACCCCGGAAGGGGAGUGAAAUAGAACCUGAAACCGUGUGCUUACAAGUAGUCAGAGCCCGUUAAUGGGUGAUGGCGUGCCUUUUGUAGAAUGAACCGGCGAGUUACGAUUUGAUGCAAGGUUAAGCAGUAAAUGUGGAGCCGUAGCGAAAGCGAGUCUGAAUAGGGCGUUUAGUAUUUGGUCGUAGACCCGAAACCAGGUGAUCUACCCUUGGUCAGGUUGAAGUUCAGGUAACACUGAAUGGAGGACCGAACCGACUUACGUUGAAAAGUGAGCGGAUGAACUGAGGGUAGCGGAGAAAUUCCAAUCGAACCUGGAGAUAGCUGGUUCUCUCCGAAAUAGCUUUAGGGCUAGCCUCAAGUGAUGAUUAUUGGAGGUAGAGCACUGUUUGGACGAGGGGCCCCUCUCGGGUUACCGAAUUCAGACAAACUCCGAAUGCCAAUUAAUUUAACUUGGGAGUCAGAACAUGGGUGAUAAGGUCCGUGUUCGAAAGGGAAACAGCCCAGACCACCAGCUAAGGUCCCAAAAUAUAUGUUAAGUGGAAAAGGAUGUGGCGUUGCCCAGACAACUAGGAUGUUGGCUUAGAAGCAGCCAUCAUUUAAAGAGUGCGUAAUAGCUCACUAGUCGAGUGACACUGCGCCGAAAAUGUACCGGGGCUAAACAUAUUACCGAAGCUGUGGAUUGUCCUUUGGACAAUGGUAGGAGAGCGUUCUAAGGGCGUUGAAGCAUGAUCGUAAGGACAUGUGGAGCGCUUAGAAGUGAGAAUGCCGGUGUGAGUAGCGAAAGACGGGUGAGAAUCCCGUCCACCGAUUGACUAAGGUUUCCAGAGGAAGGCUCGUCCGCUCUGGGUUAGUCGGGUCCUAAGCUGAGGCCGACAGGCGUAGGCGAUGGAUAACAGGUUGAUAUUCCUGUACCACCUAUAAUCGUUUUAAUCGAUGGGGGGACGCAGUAGGAUAGGCGAAGCGUGCGAUUGGAUUGCACGUCUAAGCAGUAAGGCUGAGUAUUAGGCAAAUCCGGUACUCGUUAAGGCUGAGCUGUGAUGGGGAGAAGACAUUGAGUCUUCGAGUCGUUGAUUUCACACUGCCGAGAAAAGCCUCUAGAUAGAAAAUAGGUGCCCGUACCGCAAACCGACACAGGUAGUCAAGAUGAGAAUUCUAAGGUGAGCGAGCGAACUCUCGUUAAGGAACUCGGCAAAAUGACCCCGUAACUUCGGGAGAAGGGGUGCUCUUUAGGGUUAACGCCCAGAAGAGCCGCAGUGAAUAGGCCCAAGCGACUGUUUAUCAAAAACACAGGUCUCUGCUAAACCGUAAGGUGAUGUAUAGGGGCUGACGCCUGCCCGGUGCUGGAAGGUUAAGAGGAGUGGUUAGCUUCUGCGAAGCUACGAAUCGAAGCCCCAGUAAACGGCGGCCGUAACUAUAACGGUCCUAAGGUAGCGAAAUUCCUUGUCGGGUAAGUUCCGACCCGCACGAAAGGCGUAACGAUUUGGGCACUGUCUCAACGAGAGACUCGGUGAAAUCAUAGUACCUGUGAAGAUGCAGGUUACCCGCGACAGGACGGAAAGACCCCGUGGAGCUUUACUGUAGCCUGAUAUUGAAAUUCGGCACAGCUUGUACAGGAUAGGUAGGAGCCUUUGAAACGUGAGCGCUAGCUUACGUGGAGGCGCUGGUGGGAUACUACCCUAGCUGUGUUGGCUUUCUAACCCGCACCACUUAUCGUGGUGGGAGACAGUGUCAGGCGGGCAGUUUGACUGGGGCGGUCGCCUCCUAAAAGGUAACGGAGGCGCUCAAAGGUUCCCUCAGAAUGGUUGGAAAUCAUUCAUAGAGUGUAAAGGCAUAAGGGAGCUUGACUGCGAGACCUACAAGUCGAGCAGGGUCGAAAGACGGACUUAGUGAUCCGGUGGUUCCGCAUGGAAGGGCCAUCGCUCAACGGAUAAAAGCUACCCCGGGGAUAACAGGCUUAUCUCCCCCAAGAGUUCACAUCGACGGGGAGGUUUGGCACCUCGAUGUCGGCUCAUCGCAUCCUGGGGCUGUAGUCGGUCCCAAGGGUUGGGCUGUUCGCCCAUUAAAGCGGUACGCGAGCUGGGUUCAGAACGUCGUGAGACAGUUCGGUCCCUAUCCGUCGUGGGCGUAGGAAAUUUGAGAGGAGCUGUCCUUAGUACGAGAGGACCGGGAUGGACAUACCUCUGGUGUACCAGUUGUCGUGCCAACGGCAUAGCUGGGUAGCUAUGUGUGGACGGGAUAAGUGCUGAAAGCAUCUAAGCAUGAAGCCCCCCUCAAGAUGAGAUUUCCCAACUUCGGUUAUAAGAUCCCUCAAAGAUGAUGAGGUUAAUAGGUUCGAGGUGGAAGCAUGGUGACAUGUGGAGCUGACGAAUACUAAUCGAUCGAAGACUUAAUCAA
RNAcentral lists this ribosomal RNA (2707 nucleotides) under Staphylococcus aureus H15899. RNAcentral describes it as "bacterial LSU rRNA". It matches the Rfam family "Bacterial large subunit ribosomal RNA". Lineage: Bacteria; Bacillati; Bacillota; Bacilli; Caryophanales; Staphylococcaceae. The record is from RNAcentral.